This 73-nucleotide transfer RNA is filed under the name Ctenophorus ornatus. RNAcentral's name for it is "tRNA-Gln". Lineage: Eukaryota; Metazoa; Chordata; Lepidosauria; Squamata; Agamidae. The record is from RNAcentral.
CUAGAGGAAGAGGACUCGAACCCCCAUCUAAAAAUUCAAAAUUUUUAGUACUACCAUAUUAUACCACCCUCUA